This 337-nucleotide long non-coding RNA is filed under the name Nicotiana benthamiana. Its description in RNAcentral is "long non-coding RNA (NBEN_LNC014897)". Lineage: Eukaryota; Viridiplantae; Streptophyta; Magnoliopsida; Solanales; Solanaceae. The record is from RNAcentral.
UUUAAUGUUGGGCCAAAUCUUCAACGCAUGCCCACCUAUUUCUCCUUUAUUGUGACAUCCAGCUGUAUACACUUUAUCCUCAAUGUUCCCUUUUCCCCCUUUCUGGUUUGUGCAUCACUACUACUCCUAUCUCAUUUUUAUUAUGAUUAGGGUUGUUUAUUUGGACCGGACAUUCGAAAUUUGUACUGAUUUGUUUAAUUUUUAGAUUUUAGAUUGAAUUAAAUUUUAGAUUGUGUUUAUUAAAAUUUUAAAUUUCGGAUUGAAUUCUGAUUGGUAUAAUUUCAAUCUGAUUCGAAAUCUGAAAUUGUUAAGGUAUGUAAACUUUAAUUUUGGAUAG